CCUCAAUCAAUAUAUUACAGUGGUCAUAAACAAAAAUGCAUUGGAUCAGACCUGCAGGGACCAAUUGCUUAUCUUGUACUGGCUUGAAGAAAAGGCGGGGAUCAUCGAGCUUUCGAUCUGUCUUGCUGUAAGCAAUCUUUUGUACGUCCCUGAUAGAGAAACUAUUUUCCGUCGAUGAUGGUGGACAGUACCCUCACAGCGAAUGUCAGGCGAGAGAUUGCCAAGCUGCAGGUAUUCAACAAAGUGCACUUUGUGCUGCAAAUAUUAUAAUUACGAUUGAGCGCCUUAAGCUCAUGAUCCUGCGUAGGUGGAUUUGAAUGCACUGAACACGGAAGAUCUGCGUCUGAGCGCUGAAAAG
This 358-nucleotide long non-coding RNA is filed under the name Coccomyxa subellipsoidea. RNAcentral describes it as "long non-coding RNA (CSUB_LNC000685)". The record is from RNAcentral. Lineage: Eukaryota; Viridiplantae; Chlorophyta; Trebouxiophyceae; Coccomyxaceae.